RNAcentral lists this long non-coding RNA (906 nucleotides) under Homo sapiens (human). RNAcentral describes it as "HSALNT0068402". The record is from RNAcentral. Lineage: Eukaryota; Metazoa; Chordata; Mammalia; Primates; Hominidae.
GGAAAAAGGUUCCGGCCUCAGCCGGCGCACCUGGCGGAGGAGGAACCUCGCGACGCGCUCUCGGGCAUCGGUUUCUCCCAGCAAAGCUUGGAGGGUUUAGCUGCGCGGAGAGCUCAGCGAGCUCUUCUGUGUCUGUUUGGGGCGUGUGGGCUCCGGGAGCGUGAGGACCGGGAAGCUAGGAGGCUCCUUCCCUUCUGGCGGCUCCCUCACUGAGACCGGGCGGUUUGGUUGCGGGGGAAGUGGAGACGAGCCACCCUUGACCUUUGACUGCAAGAACUCACCUUGAGCAGGAUAGAGGCACGUGGACGGUGACCCUCGGGAUGCAAUAAAUGCUGAGACAGAUCAGCAAACAUUGAGUGGGCCAGACACUGUUCUGAAAAAUACGCAGUCGACUUUUGAACAGCACAGGCUUGAACUGCAUGCGGCCACUAAUACUCGGACUUCCUUCUGCCUCUGCCAUCCCUAAGACAGCAAGACCCACCCCUCCUGCUCCUCAGCCUACUCGAUGUGAUGAUGAUGCAGAGAUUCAGAGAGUCUAAGCAACUUUUCUAAAUCAUCUAGCUGGAAUUCAGUAACUGAGCCAGGAUCUACCCCAGGUCUGUCUGACUCCAAAGCCUGUGUCUUCCAGCACACACUGCUGCUGCCUGGGCAGGAAUGUGGAUAUGAUGUCUGGAGCUCUAGCAACCAUAUCAGACCACAAGGAUGAAUGUACACCCCAGGAAUGGAAGAGAGGAAAGCCAGAAAAAGACUCGGUCCCUGAUGGCUGAAGAGCUACCAUACCUGCCCCUAGAUCUUCUAUUUCUGAUCAUCUUCUAUGCAAGGACAUUACUGACUUCUCCUGUUAGCUCUGUCGUGCUUACAUCAUGAUGCCCAUUUUUCAGGUAAAGAAAUAGUGGCUCAAACAAG